GCUGGGGCACAGUGGCGCAUGCCUGUAGUUCCAGCUACUCGGGAGGCUGAGGUGGGAGGAUUGCUUGAGCCCAGGAGUUCUGGGCUGUAGUGCGCUGUGCCAGUCCAGUGUCCGCACGAAGUUCAGCAUCAAUAUGGUGACCUCCCAGGAGCGGGGGGACCACCAGGUUGCCUAAGGAGGGGUGAACCAGCCCAGGUCGGAAAUGGAGCAGAUCAAAACUCCCAUGCUGAUCAGUAGUGGGAUCACGCCUGUGAAUAGCCACUGAACUCUAGCCUGGGCAACAUAGCGAGACCCCAUCUCU
Molecule: signal recognition particle RNA, 301 nt
Filed under: Cebus imitator (Panamanian white-faced capuchin)
Lineage: Eukaryota; Metazoa; Chordata; Mammalia; Primates; Cebidae
Description: Metazoan signal recognition particle RNA (ENSCCAG00000004677.1)
Rfam family: Metazoan signal recognition particle RNA
About the family: The signal recognition particle (SRP) is a universally conserved ribonucleoprotein. It is involved in the co-translational targeting of proteins to membranes.
Source: RNAcentral